GGGCCCGCACAAGCAGCGGAGCAUGUGGUUUAAUUCGAAGCAACGCGAAGAACCUUACCUGGACUUGACAUCCCCUGAAUAGCCUAGAGAUAGGCGAAGCCCUUCGGGGCAGGGAGACAGGUGGUGCAUGGUUGUCGUCAGCUCGUGUCGUGAGAUGUUAGGUUAAGUCCUGCAACGAGCGCAACCCCUAUCAUUAGUUGCUACCAUUAAGUUGAGCACUCUAGUGAGACUGCCCGGGUUAACCGGGAGGAAGGUGGGGAUGACGUCAAAUCAUCAUGCCCCUUAUGUCCAGGGCUACACACGUGCUACAAUGGUGGGUACAGAGAGAUGCAAGACCGCGAGGUGGAGCAAAACUCAAAAACCCAUCCCAGUUCGGAUUGUAGGCUGCAACUCGCCUACAUGAAGCCGGAGUUGCUAGUAAUCGCGAAUCAGAAUGUCGCGGUGAAUACGUUCCCGGGCCUUGUACACACCGCCCGUCACACCAUGAGAGCUGGCAACACCCGAAGUCCGUGAGGUAACCUGCAAAGGAGCCAGCGGCCGAAGGUGGGGUUAGUGAUUGGGGUGAAGUCGUAACAAGGUAGCCGUAGGAGAACCUGCGGCU
Molecule: ribosomal RNA, 601 nt
Filed under: uncultured Clostridium sp.
Lineage: Bacteria; Bacillati; Bacillota; Clostridia; Eubacteriales; Clostridiaceae
Description: bacterial SSU rRNA
Rfam family: Bacterial small subunit ribosomal RNA
Source: RNAcentral